Long non-coding RNA from Gigantopelta aegis, 278 nucleotides. RefSeq lists it as uncharacterized. NCBI's taxonomy places the organism in Eukaryota, Metazoa, Mollusca, Gastropoda, Neomphalida, Peltospiridae. The transcript is spliced from 3 exons. The record is from RefSeq and is a predicted model, not a curated record.
AUCUGCUGCUCAUGUGGGUCAACAGUGGAAGAAAUUAUAAAGUGUUCUGACUGUGGUCCAGGUGGCUAUUUUUGCCAGAAAUGCCUCAUCCUAGAGCAUUCUCGGCCACAUCUUCAUGUGCAUGAAAUUUUUAAGAAUGGAACCUUUCUUAUGUUAAAAACUACCACACCAGUUUGGACCAGACCAGACAAACAUUCUUGCUUUUCAAGAUAUGAAAAAGAUAUCGUCAUCCUGGAUGAACUAGUUGAAGGAUGUCUACAAAAUUUUAAUGAAUGAAU